This 540-nucleotide long non-coding RNA is filed under the name Homo sapiens (human). Its description in RNAcentral is "long independently transcribed non-coding RNA 2416 (LINC02416)". The record is from RNAcentral. Lineage: Eukaryota; Metazoa; Chordata; Mammalia; Primates; Hominidae.
AGAAAAGAAAAAGGAAACUGCAACGAUGAACAGAUCAGAAUAGGCGACAUGCACUGAACAAGGUAAAAAAGACAGAAAAUUAUCUGGAGAGGUGGCCGGAGGACACAUCAAGAAGCGCCUUGUACAUUGAAUCAGGCAACAUCUCAUCCUAUAAAAUAAAAUGGGUUUUCCGAUGAGCUGAGAAGACGAGCCUGGCUUUAUAGGCAGAAAAGGGCUGAAGAAAACAGAAACAGAGAACAAAAAGCAGAUGCUUUGUUUCAAGGAUCCGGUUUUGUUCAGGUGUUCACACGAAUCAUGAGAUUCACAGGAAUGGGAAGCCGAACUCAUUCCCAGCUCCAGAAGUGGAUGCUGAUAUUUUAAACCAAUCACCAGAUGCCAUUCCUUUGAUGAUGAUGAUUAAUUUGUCCAGGGGCAGGUAUGAGACCCAACUUGAACUGGUCAGACAGAAGGGAAGGACAUAAUUCCAAAUGGACACCUGUUCUCUCUCCUACCAGUGAGGAAAAGGAAACGAGAUGUCCAGCUGUUGGCCCCAGUCAUAAG